RNAcentral lists this ribosomal RNA (253 nucleotides) under uncultured bacterium. RNAcentral's name for it is "partial 16S ribosomal RNA". It matches the Rfam family "Bacterial small subunit ribosomal RNA", at positions 524 to 776 of the family's 1533-position model. The record is from RNAcentral.
UACAGAGGUCCCGAGCGUUGUUCGGAUUCACUGGGCGUAAAGGGUGCGUAGGUGGUGGAGUAAGUUUGAUGUGAAAUCUCCGGGCUUAACCCGGAAACUGCAUUGAAUACUAUUCCGCUGGAGGUUUGGAGGGGGGACUGGAAUUCUCGGUGUAGCAGUGAAAUGCGUAGAUAUCGAGAGGAACACCAGUGGCGAAGGCGAGUCCCUGGACAACACCUGACACUGAGGCACGAAAGCUAGGGGAGCAAACAGG